This 277-nucleotide ribosomal RNA is filed under the name uncultured bacterium. RNAcentral's name for it is "partial 16S ribosomal RNA". It matches the Rfam family "Bacterial small subunit ribosomal RNA", at positions 65 to 339 of the family's 1533-position model. The record is from RNAcentral.
AACGGAGCUUAGAGAGCUUGCUUUUUAAGCUUAGUGGCGAACGGGUGAGUAACGCGUAUGCAACCUACCCAUAACAGGGGGAUAACACUGAGAAAUUGGUACUAAUACCCCAUAACGCGUAGAGGUCGCAUGGCCUUUACGCCAAAGAUUUAUCGCUGAAAGAUGGCCUCGCGUCUGAUUAGCUAGUUGGUGAGGUAACGGCCCACCAAGGCGACGAUCAGUAGCCGGACUGAGAGGUUGAACGGCCACAUUGGGACUGAGAUACGGCCCAGACUCC